This is a long non-coding RNA of Acipenser ruthenus (sterlet), 104 nucleotides long. RefSeq lists it as uncharacterized. The transcript is spliced from 3 exons. NCBI's taxonomy places the organism in Eukaryota, Metazoa, Chordata, Actinopteri, Acipenseriformes, Acipenseridae. The record is from RefSeq and is a predicted model, not a curated record.
AAAAUAUCAGAUUCUCAGUGUGCCGUUGCUGUUAAGGCAACCAGUUAAGUGGAGCCAUCAGAAAUAGAAGCUGACGAAAGACAUCAACAUCUGUUUCGUUGCUG